Long non-coding RNA from Anolis carolinensis (green anole), 2314 nucleotides. RefSeq lists it as uncharacterized. The transcript has 3 exons. The record is from RefSeq and is a predicted model, not a curated record. Lineage: Eukaryota; Metazoa; Chordata; Lepidosauria; Squamata; Anolidae.
AUUUUCACUUAUUGUGGGUGGUCCUGGAACGUAACCCCCGCGAUAAGUGAGGGAACACUGUACACAAAUCUUUUUGUUGUUUUCGGGAAAAAUGGGUACAGAUCAUACAGAGACAGCCUAGGCAUUUAUCACUCACAUGCUUAAUCAGUUUCUCAGACAACCUGGGAAAGAUAAGGAGUUAAGAAACAAGAAAGGACAAGAGCCAUCUAUAACCUGGCUUAACUAUUGGCAGAUUAAGGAAUGUUUUAAAAUAGAUAACCAAAUAGGAUUUGAGAGAAAUGAUACAACUUGGGAUAAAAUCCUAAAGCUCGAGAAGAAAGUAAUUAAAGUCUUAUACAAACAGCUCCUGAUGUGGAAAUCAGAAGAGGUCUACGUAAAAGAUAAUAUGACUAAAUGGGCGAAGGGAUUUGGGCAUGCUAUAAAAUUUGAGGUAUGGGAAAGAUGCUGGCAAAAGAGAAUAAGAUAUACAUACUCAACAGCAAUAAAGGAAAGCUGGUAUAAAAUCUUUUAUAGGUGGUAUAUUACACCGGAAAAAUUGUCAAAAUUUAACAAAGGAAAGAAAGGGGAAGAGUGCUGGAAAUGUAGGAAAGAAAAGGGGGAUCUCUUUCACAUGUGGUGGGGGUGCAAGAAGGUUAAAAGGUUCUGGAGAACAAUAAAGAAGGAGAUGGAGAUAAUACUACAAGUAAAACUCUUAUUAAAACCGGAAUACUUUUUAUUAGGGUUAAUAGACUUCGUCAUGGACUCAAAUAAGGAAAAACUAUUUACAUAUAUGAUAAGCGCAGCCAGAAUUGUGAUUGCGAAACUUUGGAAAACAGCGGAAGUGCCGUCGUUAGAGCAAUGGACAUUGAAACUGAUGGACAUACAAAAUAUGGACAUAUUAACGCAAAUAAUUUCACAAAAUCAUCAACCAAGGACAAAAACGGACUGGAACAACUUAAGCAAAUACCUGAAUGAAAAAAAGGAAUUUGGAAACAUAGGGGGAGCUGUUGUUUAUGAAUAGACACUCUUGGGGCUUAAGAAAACUGGGUCGGGAAACUUGGGAAAAGUAAGAGACAAAUCGCAGAGCAGGGUAGCUGGAAGGUAACAUCGAGAGGAAGGAGGGAGGUGGGGAUUAGGGAUUGUGCUUUGUGUUUUUGUUCUUCUUUUGUUUUGUUUUUGGAUUAUUAUUUUUUUGCUUCUUUAAUCACUAUUUAAUUCUUCUUGGCUAUAUGCUUCCCUUCCUCUUUGGUUCUUCGUUUUUAAUGUAAUACAAAAACCACAAAUAAAAUGCUUUAAAAAAAAAAAAGAAAGGACAAGAGCAACCCAGUGCACAUUCUCAGUAGUUCAAAAGGAUGAGUGACAUUAGGUCCUUUGUGGAGGCUGCACACAACAACGUACUUGAGUCUUUUAGUCCAAGCACAACUGAAAUGACUGUUCAUAAUAACUAAUCCCAGAUUUACCCCCAUGUUCUAUUCUCAGGGACUGCUAUAAAUUCACAGUGGAGUUGCCCCGCCAAACAUGGGUCACAAAUGCAGGAAUGGCAACAUGAAUACGCUUUUCCAUCUUGGGCUAUGGAUGGUGUUCUGUAUCGGUUUGGUUUCUGGCAUCCAGUGUUCCAAUUGCAAAAUAUACCCUUCAGGUGGUGUAUGUCGGCAUCAGAACCCGCCGUGCAAGCUCUAUGCAGGAAUGUCUUGCUACAAAAAAGUAGUUCUUUACGGAGCGACUCCCUUAUAUACCAAAAAGGGAUGUAUGCAAAAUUGCAGGACCAUCACAGCAACAAAGGAGAGCAAGAUGAUGAAUGUAGAUGUUAAGUGCUGCUCUCAACGAAAUUUCUGCAAUAUCUAAGAUGAUAGCAUUAGUAUUUUAAUGGUGCUUAUUACCAUUACGCAUCAAUCAGAGCUCGGAAAUGUUGUAGUUUUUGGAACAAAAGGCUUCAAAAGGCUUCAGUGGCAAAAGAAUUCUGGGCAUUGAAGGCCAGACAAUUUUUUUCCAAGCCCUGAAAAAGAAUUUAUACCUCUAUCAUGGUCAAGCUGAAGGAAACCUAUCGUGGUAUCUAUUGCCAAAUUCAUCAAAUGGAGAAAAGCAACAUAUGGAGAAAGAAUGUUGCUGCCAGAAACAAGGAUGUGGACUUUAAACUUAGAAGAAAUUUUAUGUGAUGAUCUUAAGAAGAACUUCUGAAAGAUGUUCUGAUAGGUGAGAACCUGAUGUGUUAAAAGAUACAAAGGGGAAAAGAAUAUUGAUUGGAAAUGGGGAAGCUAGACGAGGAGCUUUUAUUUUAUGUGCUGAUCGUGCCAAAAAAAUCAAAUCAUCAUGAUAAUAAAAACCCUCAAACUUU